RNAcentral lists this transfer RNA (76 nucleotides) under Alienimonas chondri. RNAcentral describes it as "tRNA-Pro". It matches the Rfam family "tRNA". Rfam says of the family: Transfer RNA (tRNA) molecules are approximately 80 nucleotides in length. Their secondary structure includes four short double-helical elements and three loops (D, anti-codon, and T loops). Lineage: Bacteria; Pseudomonadati; Planctomycetota; Planctomycetia; Planctomycetales; Planctomycetaceae. The record is from RNAcentral.
UCGGGACGUAGCUCAGCCUGGUAGAGUGCCUGCUUUGGGAGCAGGAGGCCGCAAGUUCGAAUCUUGUCGUCCCGAU